UACAGAGACCUCAAGCGUUAUCCGGAAUCAUUGGGCGUAAAGCGUACCGAUAGGUGGUCAAGAAAGCCAAAAGUGAAAUCUCCGAGCUCAACUCGGAAUCUGUCUUUUGGAACUUCUCGACUAGAGGGGCAAAGAGGAAGCUGGAACGAACGGUGUAGUAGUGAAAUGCGUUGAUAUCGUUCGGAACACCAAUAGCGUAGGCAGGCUUCUGGGUGCCACCUGACACUGCUAGGACGAAAGCGUGGGGAGCGAAUGGG
Molecule: ribosomal RNA, 257 nt
Filed under: uncultured bacterium
Lineage: Bacteria
Description: partial 16S ribosomal RNA
Rfam family: Bacterial small subunit ribosomal RNA
Source: RNAcentral